AUUAAAAUAAAUUAAAAUCCUUAAGAAGGGAUUAAUGGGGGAUUAAGAAGGGUUAAUGGGCCAGGGGUGUAUGGUAACUUGAGAGAGUGUAUCAAGACACUACACUCAAUUGGGGCGGACAGUCCAAUUCUCUCACAACAAAUUCGGAUCCUCCUGGUGAUGAAGAUUCAACUCCUAGAAAACUAAUCUCAGGACGAAAUACUUAGAUAACGGAAGGUCUUAUGACAGAGCAGACAACGACGCGGCUCUCGCACCGACUACGCAUCGCCAUCACGAAUGCGGCUUCGUGAAGAAUGACUCAAAGAGCGGAAUGAAGAGGUUGUGGAAGUUGGAAAUCCGGUUGAUGAAAUUUUGGAUGCUUUGAAGUGCAUGCUUGGAAUCAAUGGGAUUUGAUUGUAGUUACAUAUUUUAUGAAUGUUUGUAAAUUGUUUGAAUGUUUGUAAUCAGAUUUUGAAUAUAUACAUGAUGGUUGCUUGAGAAUGGAAAUCAGAUGGUUUAAAUGUAUGGUAGAAUUAAAUGGUUUAUGAAGUGCAAACUUGAAUUGAAUGUAUAUGUCAUGGCUUAUGAAUAAAAAUGCAAUUUGGCUCA
Lathyrus oleraceus (garden pea) is the source of this 588-nucleotide long non-coding RNA. RefSeq lists it as uncharacterized. Lineage: Eukaryota; Viridiplantae; Streptophyta; Magnoliopsida; Fabales; Fabaceae. The transcript is spliced from 2 exons. The record is from RefSeq and is a predicted model, not a curated record.